RNAcentral lists this long non-coding RNA (651 nucleotides) under Gallus gallus (chicken). RNAcentral describes it as "lncRNA (ENSGALG00010026395.1)". The record is from RNAcentral. Lineage: Eukaryota; Metazoa; Chordata; Aves; Galliformes; Phasianidae.
CUCAGCUGCGCGCGGGAGCGGCUCACGGCUCUAGCUGCCGCUCAGCCCGAGAGGCGGUAACAAGAAGGUUUAACAUCAGAACCCGACUGAUUCUUGUUGCCUAAGCUCGGUUUGAGUGUGGAGGUGAUGCAGCUGAGGCACCUUUACAUGCGCGUGGCUCAGCGGGAAGGCCUCUCAGGCUCCGGCCAUUUAACCUGAAGAGAACGCUCUUAGGAGUGGAGGCAAAUGGUGUGAGGGGUGAAAUGGCUUUCUGAAGCCUAGCAAGGAUCUGAGUGGAUUUCUGUUUCUGGCUCUGAGAACUGCUGUAGAAAUCGAGAUAUUAAUGAUGAUCAAUUGAAGAUUUUCAAGUGGUUUUCAGAAGAGAACGCCAACAGUCUGAAAUGGAAUCUCAGUGUGGAGUCUCAUUUCUUGUGAAGCAGGAAUUAGAGAUGCUGGGAGGCUGUGGGACAGAACUGCCCCCAACAGUCUCAAAAGUCACUUCCAUAAAUGAGGUAAAUAAAUCACUCUUUGAUUCAUCCGUAAUUGUAAGCUUCUGAGAAGCAACCAGUGAUUUGUCUUAGUUGCUCUUGUCUUAGGCUUCUUGUAUUCCUUUUCUUAUGCUACUAGUUAGUUUUACUGGCCUGGAGUAGAACUUCUUAGAACUUCAUUUAC